RNAcentral lists this ribosomal RNA (476 nucleotides) under uncultured bacterium. RNAcentral describes it as "bacterial SSU rRNA". It matches the Rfam family "Bacterial small subunit ribosomal RNA", at positions 36 to 507 of the family's 1533-position model. The record is from RNAcentral.
CUGGCGGCAUGCCUUACACAUGCAAGUCGAACGGCAGCACGGGAGCAAUCCUGGUGGCGAGUGGCGAACGGGUGAGUAAUAUAUCGGAACGUGCCCAGUCGUGGGGGAUAACGUAGCGAAAGCUACGCUAAUACCGCAUACGAUCUACGGAUGAAAGCGGGGGAUCGCAAGACCUCGCGCGAUUGGAGCGGCCGAUAUCAGAUUAGGUAGUUGGUGAGGUAAAGGCUCACCAAGCCGACGAUCUGUAGCUGGUCUGAGAGGACGACCAGCCACACUGGGACUGAGACACGGCCCAGACUCCUACGGGAGGCAGCAGUGGGGAAUUUUGGACAAUGGGCGCAAGCCUGAUCCAGCAAUGCCGCGUGCAGGAUGAAGGCCUUCGGGUUGUAAACUGCUUUUGUACGGAACGAAACGGUGAGCUCUAAUACAGUUUGCUAAUGACGGUACCGUAAGAAUAAGCACCGGCUAACUACGUG